CAAUAGCGUAUAUUAAAGUUGUUGCAGUUAAAAAGCUCGUAGUUGGAUUUCUGCUGAGGACGAUCGGUCCGCCCACUGGGUGAGUAUCUGGCUCGGCCUUGGCAUCUUCUUGGAGAACGUUGCUGCACUUGACUGUGUGGCGCGGUAUCCAGGACUUUUACUUUGAGGAAAUUAGAGUGUUUCAAGCAGGCGCACGCCUUGAAUACAUUAGCAUGGAAUAAUGAGAUAGGACCUUGGUUCUAUUUUGUUGGUUUCUAGAGCUGAGGUAAUGAUUAAUAGGGAUAGUUGGGGGCAUUCGUAUUUAACUGUCAGAGGUGAAAUUCUCGGAUUUGUUAAAGAUGGACUACUGCGAAAGCAUUUGCCAAGGAUGUUUUCAUUGA
RNAcentral lists this ribosomal RNA (380 nucleotides) under uncultured eukaryote. RNAcentral's name for it is "partial 18S ribosomal RNA". It matches the Rfam family "Eukaryotic small subunit ribosomal RNA", at positions 592 to 976 of the family's 1831-position model. The record is from RNAcentral.